Molecule: ribosomal RNA, 427 nt
Filed under: uncultured bacterium
Lineage: Bacteria
Description: partial 16S ribosomal RNA
Rfam family: Bacterial small subunit ribosomal RNA
Source: RNAcentral
UGGGGAAUAUUGCACAAUGGGCGCAAGCCUGAUGCAGCCAUGCCGCGUGUAUGAAGAAGGCCUUCGGGUUGUAAAGUACUUUCAGCGGGGAGGAAGGUGUUGUGGUUAAUAACCUCAGCAAUUGACGUUACCCGCAGAAGAAGCACCGGCUAACUCCGUGCCAGCAGCCGCGGUAAUACGGAGGGUGCAAGAGUUAAUCGGAAUUACUGGGCGUAAAGCGCACGCAGGCGGUCUGUCAAGUCGGAUGUGAAAUCCCCGGGCUCAACCUGGGAACUGCAUCCGAAACUGGCAGGCUUGAGUCUUGUAGAGGGGGGUAGAAUUCCAGGUGUAGCGGUGAAAUGCGUAGAGAUCUGGAGGAAUACCGGUGGCGAAGGCGGCCCCCUGGACAAAGACUGACGCUCAGGUGCGAAAGCGUGGGGAGCAAACA